AUACGUAGGUGGCGAGCGUUAUCCGGAAUUAUUGGGCGUAAAGAGGGAGCAGGCGGCACUAAGGGUCUGUGGUGAAAGAUCGAAGCUUAACUUCGGUAAGCCAUGGAAACCGUAGAGCUAGAGUGUGUGAGAGGAUCGUGGAAUUCCAUGUGUAGCGGUGAAAUGCGUAGAUAUAUGGAGGAACACCAGUGGCGAAGGCGACGAUCUGGCGCAUAACUGACGCUCAGUCCCGAAAGCGUGGGGAGCAAAUAGGAUUAGAUACCCUAGUAGUCCACGCCGUAAACGAUGAGUACUAAGUGUUGGGAGUCAAAUCUCAGUGCUGCAGUUAACGCAAUAAGUACUCCGCCUGAGUAGUACGUUCGCAAGAAUGAAACUCAAAGGAAUUGACGGGGGCCCGCACAGCGGUGGAGCAUGUGGUUUAAUUCGAAGCAACGCGAAGAACCUUACCAGGUCUUGACAUCGAUCUAAAGGCUCCAGAGAUGGAGAGAUAGCUAUAGAGAAGACAGGUGGUGCAUGGUUGUCGUCAGCUCGUGUCGUGAGAUGUUGGGUUAAGUCCCGCAACGAGCGCAACCCCUGUUGCCAGUUGCCAGCAUUAAGUUGGGGACUCUGGCGAGACUGCCGGUGACAAGCCGGAGGAAGGCGGGGAUGACGUCAAAUCAUCAUGCCCCUUAUGACCUGGGCUACACACGUGCUACAAUGGACAGAGCAGAGGGAAGCGAAGCCGCGAGGUGGAGCGAAACCCAUAAAACUGUUCUCAGUUCGGACUGCAGUCUGCAACUCGACUGCACGAAGAUGGAAUCGCUAGUAAUCGCGAAUCAGCAUGUCACGGUGAAUACGUUCUCGGGCCUUGUACACACCGCCCGUCACACCAUGAGAGUCGGUAACACCCGAAGCCGGUGGCCUAACCGCAAGGAAGGAGCUGUCUAAGGUGGGACUGAUGAUUGGGGUG
Molecule: ribosomal RNA, 949 nt
Filed under: uncultured bacterium
Lineage: Bacteria
Description: bacterial SSU rRNA
Rfam family: Bacterial small subunit ribosomal RNA
Source: RNAcentral